GUGAUUACAAGUGUUGGUAGGAUGUCGGGAGAAGAGGACCCUCGUGCAUUAUCUACAAAUAUUGAAUCAUAAAAAAAAGCAGCUCUUACUUAUUUUAUCACCAUUAGCAUCAUGAAGACAGUUGUUCAAUUCUGGUAAAUUCAGAGGAAUUUCCACUACCAUGAAAGAAAGAUGAUGUUAGCUAAUCAUAAUUGUCUCAUGGUGUUUGGUGCUACCCCAGACCAUCUUCAGGAUUAAGAGGAAAUAUUAAGAGUUACCAAAUAUAAAAACAAUGAAAUACAUAGGAACAAUCAUUCAAGUGCCAGUGACUUCUCAUCAGCAAGAAAGGGUCUGAAGACACAACCUACUACCUUAAUUUGCCAAAGAGAGGCUGCAGAGAUGUUGGUUUCCACGAUGAUUGUGGGGCUACUGGUUUUUGAGGAUAUCGCAAAGCUGGGGAGUUGGUGAUGGAAACACAGCAAGUUGAACCACCCCAAAGCUCAUGGUUCGUAAC
Long non-coding RNA from Zalophus californianus (California sea lion), 493 nucleotides. RefSeq lists it as uncharacterized. NCBI's taxonomy places the organism in Eukaryota, Metazoa, Chordata, Mammalia, Carnivora, Otariidae. The transcript is spliced from 4 exons. The record is from RefSeq and is a predicted model, not a curated record.